RNAcentral lists this ribosomal RNA (895 nucleotides) under Akanthomyces muscarius. RNAcentral's name for it is "LSU rRNA". It matches the Rfam family "Eukaryotic large subunit ribosomal RNA", at positions 38 to 964 of the family's 3401-position model. Lineage: Eukaryota; Fungi; Ascomycota; Sordariomycetes; Hypocreales; Cordycipitaceae. The record is from RNAcentral.
GCAUAUCAAUAAGCGGAGGAAAAGAAACCAACAGGGAUUGCCCCAGUAACGGCGAGUGAAGCGGCAACAGCUCAAAUUUGAAAUCUGGCCCUUGGGUCCGAGUUGUAAUUUGUAGAGGAUGCUUUUGGCGAGGUGCCUUCCGAGUUCCCUGGAACGGGACGCCAUAGAGGGUGAGAGCCCCGUCUGGUCGGACACCGAGCCUCUGUAAAGCUCCUUCGACGAGUCGAGUAGUUUGGGAAUGCUGCUCAAAAUGGGAGGUAUAUGUCUUCUAAAGCUAAAUAUUGGCCAGAGACCGAUAGCGCACAAGUAGAGUGAUCGAAAGAUGAAAAGCACUUUGAAAAGAGGGUUAAAAAGUACGUGAAAUUGUUGAAAGGGAAGCGCCUAUGACCAGACUUGGGCCCGGUGAAUCAUCCAGCGUUCUCGCUGGUGCACUUUGCCGGGCACAGGCCAGCAUCAGUUUGGCGCGGGGGAAAAAGGCUUUGGGAAUGUGGCUCCCUCGGGAGUGUUAUAGCCCAUUGUGUAAUACCCUGCGCCGGACUGAGGUACGCGCAUUGCAAGGAUGCUGGCGUAAUGGUCAUCAGCGACCCGUCUUGAAACACGGACCAAGGAGUCGUCUUCGUAUGCGAGUGUUCGGGUGUCAAACCCCUACGCGUAAUGAAAGUGAACGCAGGUGAGAGCUUCGGCGCAUCAUCGACCGAUCCUGAUGUUCUCGGAUGGAUUUGAGUAAGAGCAUACGGGGCCGGACCCGAAAGAAGGUGAACUAUGCCUGUAUAGGGUGAAGCCAGAGGAAACUCUGGUGGAGGCUCGCAGCGGUUCUGACGUGCGAAUCGAUCGUCAAAUAUGGGCAUGGGGGGCGAAAGACUAAUCGAACCUUCUAGUAGCUGGUUUCCGUCGA